ACUCGUCUGAGCGAGUAUAAAUAGUAUCCUUAGGCUCAGAGCGUCACAUAUUUAUGUGGGUGGAU
RNAcentral lists this ribozyme (65 nucleotides) under unclassified sequences. RNAcentral describes it as "pistol ribozyme". It matches the Rfam family "Pistol ribozyme". The record is from RNAcentral.